UACAGAGGUCUCAAGCGUUGUUCGGAUUCAUUGGGCGUAAAGGGUGCGUAGGCGGCGCGGUAAGUCGGGUGUGAAAUCUCGGAGCUUAACUCCGAAACUGCAUUCGAUACUGCCGUGCUUGAGGACUGGAGAGGAGACUGGAAUUUACGGUGUAGCGGUGAAAUGCGUAGAUAUCGUAAGGAAGACCAGUGGCGAAGGCGGGUCUCUGGACAGUUCCUGACGCUGAGGCACAAAGGUCAGGGGAGCAAACGGG
This 253-nucleotide ribosomal RNA is filed under the name uncultured bacterium. Its description in RNAcentral is "partial 16S ribosomal RNA". It matches the Rfam family "Bacterial small subunit ribosomal RNA", at positions 524 to 776 of the family's 1533-position model. The record is from RNAcentral.